GUGAAACUGCGAAUGGCUCAUUAAAUCAGUUAUCGUUUAUUUGAUAGUACCUUACUACUUGGAUACCUGUGGUAAUUCUAGAGCUAAUACAUGCUAAAAACCCCGACUUCGGAAGGGGUGUAUUUAUUAGAUAAAAAACCAAUGCCCUUCGGGGCUCCUUGGUGAUUCAUAAUAACUUCUCAGAUCGCAUGGCCUUGCGCCGGCGACGGUUCAUUCAAAUUUCUGCCCUAUCAACUUUCGAUGGUAAGGUAUUGGCUUACCAUGGUUUCUACGGGUAACGGGGAAUUAGGGUUCGAUUCCGGAGAGUUAGCCUGAGAAACGGCUAACACAUCCAAGGAAGGCAGCAGGCGCGCAAAUUACCCAAUCCUGAUACAGGGAGGUAGUGACAAUAAAUACUGAUACAGGGCUCUUUUGGGUCUUGUAAUUGGAAUGAGUACAAUUUAAACCUCUUAACGAGGAACAAUUGGAGGGCAAGUCUGGUGCCAGCAGCCGCGGUAAUUCCAGCUCCAAUAGCGUAUAUUAAAGUUGUUGCAGUUAAAAAGCUCGUAGUUGAACCUUUGGCCUGGCUGGCAGGUCCGCCUCACCGCGUGCACUUGUCCGGCCGGGCCUUUUCUUCUGGAGAACCGCAUGCCCUUCACUGGGUGUGUUGGGGACCAGGACUUUUACUUUGAAAAAAUUAGAGUGUUCAAAGCAGGCCUUUGCUCGAAUAUUACAGCAUGGAAUAAUAAAAUAGGACGUGCGGUUCUAUUUUGUUGGUUUCUAGGACCGCCGUAAUGAUUAAUAGGGACAGUCGGGGGCAUCAGUAUUCAAUUGUCAGAGGUGAAAUUCUUGGAUUUAUUGAAGACUAACUACUGCGAAAGCAUUUG
RNAcentral lists this ribosomal RNA (866 nucleotides) under Synhelminthosporium synnematoferum. RNAcentral describes it as "SSU rRNA". It matches the Rfam family "Eukaryotic small subunit ribosomal RNA", at positions 81 to 957 of the family's 1831-position model. Lineage: Eukaryota; Fungi; Ascomycota; Dothideomycetes; Pleosporales; Massarinaceae. The record is from RNAcentral.